GUGCCAGCAGCCGCGGUAAUACAGAGGCCAAGAGCGUUGUUCGGAUUUACUGGGCGUAAAGGGCACGUAGGCGGUCUUGCGUGUCAAGUGUGAAAUCUCCGGGCCCAACCCGGAAAGUGCGCUUGAAACUACAGGACUCGAGUCUGGGAGAGGGAAUCGGAAUAUAGGGUGUAGCGGUGAAAUGCGUUGAUAUCCUAUAGAACACCGGAGGCGAAGGCGGAUUCCUUGAACGGUACUGACGCUGAGGCGCGAAAGUCGGGGGAGCAAACAGGAUUAGAUACCCUGGUAGUCCCGACCUUAAACGGUGCACACUCGGGGUGGGGCCAUUUCACCGGUCCCGUCCCUUAGCUAACGCGUUAAGUGUGCCGCCUGGGGAGUACGGCCGCAAGGCUAAAACUCAAAGAAAUUGACGGGGGCCCGCACAAGCAGAGGAGCAUGUGGCUUAAUUCGAUGCAACGCGAAGAACCUUACCUGGAUUUGACAUCGUGGGCAAAGGCCUAUGAAAGUAGGCUGGAGGUUAUCCCAUAGACAGGUGCUGCAUGGCUGUCGUCAGUUCGUGCCGUGAGGUGUUUGGUUAAGUCCACCAACGAACGCAACCCCUUUGGUAUGUUGCCAUCAGGUAAAGCUGGGAACUCGUACCAUACUGCCUGUUUACGCAGGAGGAAGGUGGGGAUGACGUCAAGUCAGUAUGGCCCUUACAUCCAGGGCUGCACACGUGCUACAAUGGCCGGUACAGAGGGACGCGAGACCGCAAGGUGGAGCCAAUCCCAGAGAGCCGGCCUCAGUUCAGAUUCGGGUCUGCAACCCGACCCCGUGAAGUCGGAUUUGGCUUAGUAACGGCGUAUCAGCUACGACGCCGUGAAUGCGUUCCCGGGCCUUGUACACACCGCCCGU
Molecule: ribosomal RNA, 894 nt
Filed under: uncultured bacterium
Lineage: Bacteria
Description: bacterial SSU rRNA
Rfam family: Bacterial small subunit ribosomal RNA
Source: RNAcentral